AACGCACAUUGCGCCCCUUGGUAUUCCGAGGGGCAUGCCUGUUCGAGCGUCAUAAUAACCAAUCCAGCUCGCUGGGUCUUGGGCACCGCCGUCUGGCGGGCCUCAAACGCAGUGGCGGUACGGCCGGGCUCUAAGCGUAGUACAUCUUCUCGCUAUAGGGUCCCGGGCGGCACUUGCCAGCAACCCCUCAUUUAUUCAGGUUGACCUCGGAUCAGGUAGGGAUACCCGCUGAACUUAA
RNAcentral lists this unclassified non-coding RNA (238 nucleotides) under uncultured fungus. Its description in RNAcentral is "sequence contains ITS2". The stretch from base 1 to 52 matches the Rfam family "5.8S ribosomal RNA", at positions 103 to 154 of the family's 154-position model. Lineage: Eukaryota; Fungi. The record is from RNAcentral.